UAGGGAAUAUUGGGCAAUGGAUGCAAGUCUGACCCAGCCAUGCCGCGUGCCGGAAGAAGGCUCUCAGGGUUGUAAACGGCUUUUAUUCGGGAAGAAGAGCAGGGAUUCGUCCUUGUGUGACGGUACCGAAUGAAUAAGCACCGGCUAACUCCGUGCCAGCAGCCGCGGUAAUACGGAGGGUGCGAGCGUUGUCCGGAUUUAUUGGGUUUAAAGGGUGCGUAGGUGGCUUUAUAAGUCAGCGGUGAAAUACAGCCGCUCAACGGUUGAGGUGCCAUUGAUACUGUAAAGCUUGAAACAAUUGGAGGCUGACGGAAUGGAUGGUGUAGCGGUGAAAUACAUAGAUAUCAUCCAGAACACCGAUUGCGAAGGCAGGUGGCUACGUUUGAUUUGACACUGAGGAACGUAAGCAUGGGGAGCAAACA
This 422-nucleotide ribosomal RNA is filed under the name uncultured bacterium. RNAcentral's name for it is "bacterial SSU rRNA". It matches the Rfam family "Bacterial small subunit ribosomal RNA", at positions 355 to 774 of the family's 1533-position model. The record is from RNAcentral.